This 600-nucleotide ribosomal RNA is filed under the name uncultured bacterium. Its description in RNAcentral is "bacterial SSU rRNA". It matches the Rfam family "Bacterial small subunit ribosomal RNA", at positions 725 to 1338 of the family's 1533-position model. The record is from RNAcentral.
UAACCUGGUCUGUUACUGACGCUCAGGCACGAAAGCGUGGGGAGCAAAUAGGAUUAGAUACCCUAGUAGUCCACGCCCUAAACGAUGAUUACUAAAUGUUGGGGAAACUCAGUGUUGCAGCUAACGCAAUAAGUAAUCCGCCUGGGGAGUAUGCACGCAAGUGUGAAACUUAAAGGAAUUGACGGGGCCCCGCACAAGCGGUGGAGUAUGCGGUUUAAUUCGACGCAACGCGAAGAACCUUACCAGGCCUUGACAUCCCUUGCAAAACCAUAGAGAUAUGGCAGAGGUUAUCAAGGUGACAGGUGGUGCAUGGUUGUCGUCAGCUCGUGUCGUGAGAUGUUGGGUUAAGUCCCGCAACGAGCGCAACCCCUGUCUUUAGUUACCAUCAUUCAGUUGGGGACUCUAGAGAGACUGCCGGUGAUAAACCGGAGGAAGGUGGGGAUGACGUCAAAUCAUCAUGCCCUUUAUGGCCUGGGCUACACGCGUCCUACAAUGGCGUAUACAAAAAGAUGCAAUACAGCGAUGUGGAGCAAAACUCUAAAAUACGUCUCAGUUCGGAUCGUAGUCUGCAACCCGACUACGUGAAGUUGGAAUCGCUAG